Long non-coding RNA from Callorhinchus milii (elephant shark), 273 nucleotides. RefSeq lists it as uncharacterized. The transcript has 3 exons. Lineage: Eukaryota; Metazoa; Chordata; Chondrichthyes; Chimaeriformes; Callorhinchidae. The record is from RefSeq and is a predicted model, not a curated record.
UCAGAGCUAAGGGGUGGUUGGGAGGGGAAAGGCAGGUAAGACUUGAGGAAGACUGCUCGUAGUCCUUAGAUCCACUAUUUGAUUAUCGUUACAAAUGGUGUACAGAAUGUAACCAUUAAUUGGAUAAAAAAGGGAAAUGAACUUUGUUUGAUGACAACAGAUCUAAGAGGACGGAAAUAAUUUAGUUAAAACUCCAGUGAUAUGAGCACUUCAGCCAUCAAUCAGAAGUUUACAAAUGGAAUACAAACUCCAAAAUCAAUCAAUCAUCAAGAU